CCUACGGGGGGCUGCAGUGGGGAAUAUUGGACAAUGGGGGGAACCCUGAUCCAGCCAUGCCGCGUGUGUGAAGAAGGCCCUCGGGUUGUAAAGCACUUUCAGUGAGGAAGAACGCCUGGUGGUUAAUACCCAUCAGGAAAGACAUCACUCACAGAAGAAGCACCGGCUAACUCCGUGCCAGCAGCCGCGGUAAUACGGAGGGUGCGAGCGUUAAUCGGAAUUACUGGGCGUAAAGCGCGCGUAGGUGGCUUGAUAAGCCGGUUGUGAAAGCCCCGGGCUCAACCUGGGAACGGCAUCCGGAACUGUCAAGCUAGAGUGCAGGAGAGGAAGGUAGAAUUCCCGGUGUAGCGGUGAAAUGCGUAGAGAUCGGGAGGAAUACCAGUGGCGAAGGCGGCCUUCUGGACUGACACUGACACUGAGGUGCGAAAGCGUGGGUAGCAAACAGGAUUAGAUACCUGGGUAGUC
Molecule: ribosomal RNA, 465 nt
Filed under: Vreelandella stevensii
Lineage: Bacteria; Pseudomonadati; Pseudomonadota; Gammaproteobacteria; Oceanospirillales; Halomonadaceae
Description: partial 16S ribosomal RNA
Rfam family: Bacterial small subunit ribosomal RNA
Source: RNAcentral